This 323-nucleotide ribosomal RNA is filed under the name uncultured bacterium. Its description in RNAcentral is "bacterial SSU rRNA". It matches the Rfam family "Bacterial small subunit ribosomal RNA", at positions 28 to 334 of the family's 1533-position model. The record is from RNAcentral.
GAUGAACGCUGGCGGCGUGCUUAACACAUGCAAGUCGAACGGGACUUGUUAAGUUGAAACUUCGGUCGAUUCUUUUCAAGUCUAGUGGCGGACGGGUGAGUAACGCGUGGGUAACCUGCCUCACACUGGGGGAUAACAGUCAGAAAUGACUGCUAAUACCGCAUAAGCGCACAGCAUCGCAUGAUGCAGGGGUAAAAACUCCGGUGGUAUGAGAUGGAUCCGCGUCUGAUUAGCUAGUUGGUAAGGUAACGGCUUACCAAGGCAACGAUCAGUAGCCGACCUGAGAGGGUGACCGGCCACAUUGGGACUGAGACACGGCCCAA